CGGCAAUGACUUGAUUGGUUUAUCCACGCUUCUGAGAGCAAUUGAAGUAAAAGAUAUAAAAUGGUUGAAUUUUUCUUAACAUGAGGUCA
Molecule: small nucleolar RNA, 89 nt
Filed under: Helianthus annuus (common sunflower)
Lineage: Eukaryota; Viridiplantae; Streptophyta; Magnoliopsida; Asterales; Asteraceae
Source: RNAcentral